UGGAUCCAGACUUGAUUAUGGCUCAGGAUGAACGCUAGCUACAGGCUUAACACAUGCAAGUCGAGGGGCAGCAUAUCGGUAGCUUGCUACUGGUGAUGGCGACCGGCGCACGGGUGAGUAACGCGUAUCCAACCUUCCCAUGACUGGGGAAUAACCUUGCGAAAGUAAGACUAAUACCCCAUGGUUUCCGAGGCGGACAUCCAAUUUGGAAUAAAGAUUCAUCGGUCAUGGAUGGGGAUGCGUCUGAUUAGCUUGUUGGCGGGGUAACGGCCCACCAAGGCGACGAUCAGUAGGGGUUCUGAGAGGAAGGUCCCCCACAUUGGAACUGAGACACGGUCCAAACUCCUACGGGAGGCAGCAGUGAGGAAUAUUGGUCAAUGGACGAGAGUCUGAACCAGCCAAGUAGCGUGCAGGAUGACGGCCCUAUGGGUUGUAAACUGCUUUUAUACGGGAAUAAAGUCAAUCACGUGUGAUUGUUUGUAUGUACCGUAUGAAUAAGGACCGGCUAAUUCCGUGCCAGCAGCCGCGGUAAUACGGAAGGUCCGGGCGUUAUCCGGAUUUAUUGGGUUUAAAGGGAGCGUAGGCCGCCGAUUAAGCGUGUUGUGAAAUGCCGCAGCUCAACUGUGGCACUGCAGCGCGAACUGGUUGGCUUGAGUGCGCGGAAGGCAGGCGGAAUUUGUGGUGUAGCGGUGAAAUGCUUAGAUAUCACGAAGAACCCCGAUUGCGAAGGCAGCUUGCCGCAGCGUAACUGACGCUGAAGCUCGAAAGUGCGGGUAUCGAACAGGAUUAGAUACCCUGGUAGUCCGCACGGUAAACGAUGGAUGCCCGCUGUUCCGGCUAUAUGUUGGAGUGGCCAAGCGAAAGCGUUAAGCAUCCCACCUGGGGAGUACGCCGGCAACGGUGCAACUCAAAGGAAUUGA
Molecule: ribosomal RNA, 920 nt
Filed under: uncultured Bacteroidota bacterium
Lineage: Bacteria; Pseudomonadati; Bacteroidota
Description: bacterial SSU rRNA
Rfam family: Bacterial small subunit ribosomal RNA
Source: RNAcentral